This 758-nucleotide ribosomal RNA is filed under the name Glomeromycotina sp. OTU31 DJMC-2012. RNAcentral's name for it is "eukaryotic LSU rRNA". It matches the Rfam family "Eukaryotic large subunit ribosomal RNA", at positions 48 to 657 of the family's 3401-position model. Lineage: Eukaryota; Fungi; Glomeromycota. The record is from RNAcentral.
AAGCGGAGGAAAAGAAACUAACAAGGAUUCCCCUAGUAACGGCGAGUGAAGAGGGAAGAGCUCAAAUUUUAAAUCUGCCUUGUUCCAAGGUCGAGUUGUAAUUUGAAGAAGCGUUUUCUUGGGCUCGCGGCCGGUAGAAGUUCUUUGGAACAGGACAUCAUAGAGGGUGACAAUCCCGUCCGUGACCGGUCGUGCGUUCAUMUACGAUACGCUUUCAAAGAGUCGAGUUGUUUGGGAUUGCAGCUCCAAACGGGUGGUAAACAUCACCUAAGGCUAAAUAUUGGCGAGAGACCGAUAGCGAACAAGUACCGUGAGGGAAAGAUGAAAAGAACUUUGAAAAGAGAGUUAAACAGUACGUGAAAUUGUUGAAAGGGAAACGAUUGAAGUCAGUCGUGCUGGCGCGAAAUCAACCCUCUCGUCUUGAGAUCACAUGGCGCGACGAGCCUCAAAACCGUCACGAAGCGUGAACUCUUGACGAAAAGGUGCACUUUCGUGUCCGCUGGUUAACAUCAAUUUCGAACGUCAUAAAAAGGCUGGAGGGAUGUGGCUCCUUCGGGAGUGUUAUAACCUUUAGCGGAAUGUGGCGUUCGGGAUUGAGGAUUGCAACGAAUACCUUCAGGGCUGUUCCACCUGGCUUCUCAUUGGUAUCCUGGUGACGACAGCUUGCUGACGUCGUUAGGAUCAGCUUCUGAACAGGCUAGAGUGUGAGCAAAUUCGUUAAGGAUGUUAACGUAAUGGCUUUAAACGACCCGUCUUGA